CAUUUUUCAGGCGAAAACAGUCAUCAAUCUUGCACCUGAGGUUUGAUGUUGAUUUUCUCCGCUGCAUGCUCAUUGAGCCACUUCAUGUCAAUCUCACAGUCAAAGUGUCCAAUGUUGCAGACAAUAGCAUCAUCCUUCAUCUGCUCAAAGUGUCUGUGAGAAAAAAACAAAACAUGAUGUUUACACUACCUGACCAACAUUUCCAGUCGAGGAACGAUUUCAACCAGCUUUUGGCACAAAAUUCUGUUCACAAGCAAGUAAAAGCUGAAACAAAUCACUAAAAAAAAAUAACAAUUAUCUAGAACAAUGGUCAACCAACAUUAAAUAAAUUAGUGAUGUUUGCCUUGGCAUUUUGAACAAACCGCUAACCGUAAUAUUAUAUUUGACAAGUAACUCAUCCGGAAUCUUUUAUUCCUCAGCCAAUGAAUGACGCCUCAAAUCAUGCGGCUUUUUGAGGAGAGGUGGGCAAUUAUGUUUCUAAG
Long non-coding RNA from Sinocyclocheilus rhinocerous, 482 nucleotides. RefSeq lists it as uncharacterized. NCBI's taxonomy places the organism in Eukaryota, Metazoa, Chordata, Actinopteri, Cypriniformes, Cyprinidae. The transcript has 3 exons. The record is from RefSeq and is a predicted model, not a curated record.